AAGGCACGUUGUUAAAGUCUAGAUUUAUUAUAGUAAGUCGAGAGAUAUAUGCUACAAUUAUUAGACUCACCUAUGAGUACAAUGAUUCACUUAUGAGUACAAUGAUCAUCAACGGCUAAACAAUCAUUUAAAUUGUAUCUUGUGAGAACAUGCAUGCCGAGUCGAUACCCUAGAAAUAAUUGAGAUAAAAAUAAGAAAUUAAAAGGGAAAGAGCAUGGCCAAUAAGAUCUACAUAUAACCUUUUUAAAGAUUAUAUAUGGUAGUUAAUUUUCCUUGGCCUUCUUCUUAGAGUAGUUCUUAGAAUGGAAGUCAAGGAACAAAACCAAAAGAGAAGUGAUGAAAACAGCAUCGAAACACCAACCCAACAUCCCAGAGCACCCCGCACUAGUGAAAUGGUAGUAGAAAAUCCAACCCAUGAUCCCAAAGCUUGAAAAGAACUGCAAAAUCUGGCAAUCUGUGACCAACUUUUUCCAUUUAGGACGAAUCCCUAUGGCACAAAGAAAGUAGUAGUAGUACAUUAUCACAUGUACAGUAGCAUUUGUGACAAGUACACAAGGGAACAUAGACUGCGAGGAGUUUAGUGAUAUGUAGCACAUCACCACCACUGUUGCAUGAUGGUAGACAUGGAGGAAAGUCAACCGUCUGAUGGAGUUGCUCAAGAUGAUCAAAAGGGUAUCCAUGAAUUCAAAAAUCUUCGAGAUAUAAAAUAUGUAAGCCCAGAAAAAGAGAGGUCCAGUAGGUGGGGUUUUUUUAGGGAAGCAAACAACAGAGUCCAAGUUCGGAGCAAGAAGGAUGAUGGAGAGAGUGCAACCAAGGGCCAUAACGAAGGAGAGCGAGAGAAGGAUCAUGUUAUGAAUGGCUGUGAGGUUUUUGAGGAAACGAGGGCUGCAGGAGAUUAGGGUUGUGUGAGAAAGGAGGAAAGUGAGAGAGAGAUAGGAGAGAACGGUGAGAGAAAGGAAGAGAAGAGAAGAACCUGGAGUUUCACCUUGUUUCCAUGCGAAAUUGAGAAUAUUUGGAUGGUUCACUAGCCAAUAUUGGAGGAUUGGGAAAACUGGGUUCUUGCUAAGGUAGUUCACUACACAAUACUUGACAGUUUGGAAAAGGAACUCCAUGGCGGCUCACCGGUGGCGGUGGUGGUGGUGGUGAAAGGAGAGUAGAGAGAGCUUGGGGAGGUUUUAGAAGCUUAAGAUAUGAUGUAGAAGUAAACAAGUGCAAGAGUUUU
RNAcentral lists this unclassified non-coding RNA (1222 nucleotides) under Hevea brasiliensis (rubber tree). The record is from RNAcentral. Lineage: Eukaryota; Viridiplantae; Streptophyta; Magnoliopsida; Malpighiales; Euphorbiaceae.